UGCAAUUUCUAGGCCUAAGUUGAUGAUUAUGGAGUCAACAUUAUUUGUCGACCACCGACCGUUCCUAGAGCAAGUGGAGAAGGGCUUAGUACUUGGUAUCCAAGAUCCAAGUUCGAAUUCUAGUUGAUUUAUAUUUUCGGCUAAAUUUAUUUCUAAAUAAAAUAAAACGAAGUGGGUAGCGUGCUAUCUAUCUCUCAAAAAUAAAAAAAAACAAAACAUUAUUUGUCGACCAAUUAAUAGCCUUCUCUA
This 249-nucleotide long non-coding RNA is filed under the name Ananas comosus (pineapple). Its description in RNAcentral is "long non-coding RNA (ACOM_LNC004676)". Lineage: Eukaryota; Viridiplantae; Streptophyta; Magnoliopsida; Poales; Bromeliaceae. The record is from RNAcentral.